RNAcentral lists this ribosomal RNA (294 nucleotides) under Triticum aestivum (bread wheat). Its description in RNAcentral is "partial small subunit ribosomal RNA". The record is from RNAcentral. Lineage: Eukaryota; Viridiplantae; Streptophyta; Magnoliopsida; Poales; Poaceae.
AGUGCUGAGUGGAACGAUCUCUUCUGGGCGAUCCACCCUGGUGGCCGUGCGAUUUUGGACCACGUUGAGCAACUGCUCGGGCUGGGCGUCGAGAAGCUGGCCGCGAGCCGACGGGUGCUGAGAGAGUACGGGAACAUGAGUGCCGCCACGGUGAUCUUCGUGCUCGAUGAGCUGCGCCGGCGUAGGGCAAGGGGAGAAGAGGUGGCCGAGUGGGGUGUGAUGAUGGCGUUCGGUCCGGGGAUCACGAUCGAGACCAUGGUGCUGCACGCCGCAGGCAGCCUCAAGGAAAACUAG